UCAAUCAAAGAAGAGGAAGUGCAGACCACACUAAUGCAUCACCGAUUCACCUUGCUGCUAAGUGAUUGCCUAUUCAGUACCAGUGCUUGUUACCCACUAUGCAUUUUGAUGUGUUUAAAGCAUGAUCAAACAAGCAAACGACGGAAUGCUUUUUCUGAAACAAGACCUUAACUUUGUGGCGCAUGGGUCGCUUGUUUACUUGAGGGAUCAGCUAUUAGCGCUGCGCUACCGCAGUGUAGCAUUAUGAUGCUAACGGAGUCCUGGCUAACACCGCAAACUCCGGACAUGAGUGUGGAGCUGCCUGGUUUCCAGAUGUUGCGGGCGGACAGGACGAGAGACAGCGGUGGGAGGAAAGGAGGGGGACUGAGCAGUGUUUGUUAAAGACAGUUGUGGUAUCCCUGGGCACAUUGCUGUGAAAGAACAACUCUGCAACAGAGACAUUGAGCUAUUAGCCGUUAGCAUCCGUGGAGGCAGCCUGUGACUCUCUGUGGUCCGCAGACUGCAAACGCAAUCUCUUCUUCUAAUAUCAGGGGACUUUAAUCAUGUCUCGCUGGACUCCACACUGCCCACCUUCACCCAUUAUGUGACCUGCCCCACCGUAGGCAAUAAAACAUUGUACUUAAUGUAUGCCAAUGAAAAAGUGGCAUACAGUUCAUCACCUCUCCCUGCCCAGGGAAGAUCUGAUCGUAACCUAGUGCACCUUGUCCCUGUGUGCAGCACUUAGUGUGCAGUGCAGAGAUGCUUCGCGGAGGGCAUAAUCAAGCAAAUAAAUGACAGAAUGCUUUUUAUUUCAUGUCGACGUGCAAUUUAUGUAUAGUUGACCAGGAAAUUAAAGCAGCGAUCACUUGGACUAUUCCGUAGCACCCCUCUCACAGUGGUACAUCCCUCCAGGUAACCAUUCACAAGUCUUGUACAGUAGAGCGGGACAUUACGUUUACGCUCAGCGGAAUUCACCCGAGAAGGCAUAUAAGUUCCUGCACUGCACUGGCCUUCACCACGAUUAGUAUAAGGUGGAGUAAUGCACGAAUGGAUAAAAAAGAGUGAGAGGUUAUCAGCUGUUGAGGAGCAAAUGGAGAUCCGUGUCCAGGGGAGUGGGGUUAUUGCGAGUGUGAAAGGUUGUCCAGGAAGUAACUAAGACGACAUCAACAGAGAGGUGGUGAUCCUCGGUGGAGUGAUGAAGUAGAGCAGCCAGCACCCCAAGUAGAGCAGGCACUGUGGAAAAAUAGUUGUGACUCAACCAGACCAUUACAAAGUAUGGCCUGGAGGAUUUUCAUCUCAAGGUGCAAGAACAUUCUUAAUGACUGUACACGGCAGCUGCUGAUGGACGAUGUUGGGCCAGAUGUGCUACAGUUAGCGUUAAGGAGGUUGGAGACAGUGCAGAGAAGCCUUCGGUGGGCAAGAGGAAGACUGAUCAAUGUAACUGCAGCAGAUCAACUUCUGCGUGACUUGGCUGAAUUGAUUCAGGAGGUCGAACUGUCUACUCAGCAUGGCCAACAAGGCUGUUUUGGAUACCAGGCACCAGUGGUUUUCAACAGAGGUAGAGGUAGAUCCCUUUACCUUAUCACUCGGGAACAGCUGUCAUUCCUGAAGUCAUGUGGAUUCACUGCACCUCAGAUGGCUGAUAUUUUGAAUGUUUCACUUCGUACAAUUCGAAGACGUCUGUGACAGUAUCAUUUCACCCGUGCAUCAAUGUAUGCGGAACUGACUGACAGUGCCUUGGAUGAACAUGUGCAGGACAUUGUUGCUGGCAAUGAACACAUUGGUCCUGAGGCUGUCAGAGCCUCCCUGCGAGUACGUGGACUACAUGUACAGCGAAGGAGGGUUCGAGCAAGCAUGUUACGGAUAAAUCCUGGAGCAGCUGCCCUUAGAGCAGUUUUGCGGAGACCAGAACGAAGAACAUAUCAGGUUGCAGGUCCAAACUCAUUGUGGCACAUUGAUGGAAAUCACAAGCUGAUAAGGUGGAGGAUAGUCAUUCAUGGGGCUAUUGAUGGAUACAGUCGUCUUGUGGUCUUCCUUCAUGCCUCAAACAACAACCGUAGCAGUACCGUUUUAUCAAGUUUCAUCAGAGCCGUGGUAUCCUAUGGUGUACCCUCGAGGGUCCGGACAGACAGAGGAGGGGAAAACAAUGCUGUCUGCCUGAUGAUGAACAUUUUCAGAGGCUUUGAUCGUGGAA
Long non-coding RNA from Oreochromis niloticus (Nile tilapia), 2173 nucleotides. RefSeq lists it as uncharacterized. The transcript has 7 exons. The record is from RefSeq and is a predicted model, not a curated record. NCBI's taxonomy places the organism in Eukaryota, Metazoa, Chordata, Actinopteri, Cichliformes, Cichlidae.